Molecule: long non-coding RNA, 491 nt
Filed under: Oryza brachyantha (malo sina)
Lineage: Eukaryota; Viridiplantae; Streptophyta; Magnoliopsida; Poales; Poaceae
Description: long non-coding RNA (OBRA_LNC000540)
Source: RNAcentral
UCCAUUGGCUAUUGUGGAGUGUGGACCAACAGAGUUGUUCCAUAUAUACAACUCUGACGACAAUGGUUGCAUGUGGAGCGUUGGCAGUAGGUAGCUAGCGAGUGGUACAUAUAUAUCUCAGUGAUAAAAUUGCCAUAUGUAGUUAAUUAUAACCUUUAUUAUAGGCACCAGCACACAUUACAAGACAUAUUACGUGUGAUACAAUACUAAGAACACUGAGGCACAGGCUGUGGCAUAUACGUAGCCCUUAGAUAGAGCAUACAUAGGCCUAUCUAGCCAUACGUGUGUACAUGCACGCGUGUACACAGUACACACAGACGCAAUCCUUUAUUGACCAAGCAAGUAACAAACAUUAAUAUAGACACACACUACAGGGAUGUGGUAGUUGUCAUAGGUGCAUUUGUCAUCCAUCCAACGUGUUGAUCAGCAGCACCUGUGGCAGUCGCCGUGCCACUCGCAGCACGAGCCCUCAUGACCGUGGCAGUAACGCC